This 540-nucleotide long non-coding RNA is filed under the name Homo sapiens (human). RNAcentral describes it as "HSALNT0395100". Lineage: Eukaryota; Metazoa; Chordata; Mammalia; Primates; Hominidae. The record is from RNAcentral.
CUGCAGCAAGCCUCCAGGGUGAGGAGCAGCAAGUGCAGACACCACUACAGCCCAGAAAGGAAGCAUUGUCACCUGAUGCCUCAACACAAACUGCCCUGGAUGGUGCCAGCUGGAGAAAGUGCACGCAAGCAGCAGUGGGCUUUGCCUGUGGCCAAGAGUCUCCUCCUCAUUGUCCUACCUCAAAUUCCCUCUCCGAUGGUGAAUUUUUACUGUCUCUAAAAAUAUUCAAAAAAGAGUGUCAACAAUCUGAGGGUCAUCCCAGAAACUCCAUGUCAUGUUCUGAACCGAAACCUCUCCAGAGAAGCAUGCCGCCACCCAAGGCAAGGGCAAGUGCUGGCAGGAUCAGCUCAACUGCGGGCAGAGCAAGAGGAGCCUAAACUCACAACCUCCUCCCAAGGACUUAACACUAUUUGUCAGUUCUCAGGACUAUGAGCCUUCCAAAAGAAAACAUUAGGCCAUUGUCACUUUCAAACACAAUAUCCCCAUAUUUUGGAGGAAAUGGGGCAAGCAGGUAAAUAUGGAGCCUUUGGGGAAAAAAAA